RNAcentral lists this long non-coding RNA (166 nucleotides) under Ictidomys tridecemlineatus (thirteen-lined ground squirrel). RNAcentral describes it as "lncRNA (ENSSTOG00000034059.1)". The record is from RNAcentral. Lineage: Eukaryota; Metazoa; Chordata; Mammalia; Rodentia; Sciuridae.
CAUAGCUUUUCUUUGAUGGUUUUUAAAUCAUGCUUAUGUUUAUUUCUAGAUUUUCCCUAAUGAAUAGAACAAAGAAAAUUAUUCUCAAAUUGCCGGACUGCGGCAUUUGAUGACAGAAUUUGGUGCUGUCUGUUGAGCACUCCUUAUCCCCUCUGAAGUUUCCUUG